UGACCAAAUAUUUCUUUAGCACUCUGUUUUUCAACCAAAGAAAAGGAGGAAAAAAGUAGUUAUGAGAGGCAAAAGUGACAUAGACAACCAAAUCUUGUACAUUCAAAGCACUCAGUUUUUCAAACCCAAAAGAGGAAGUGUGAGCUUUUGUUCAACCAAUCAAAGGGGCUUUAUAUUGGUCAAGACUGGCAAUACGCAUUGAGACAAUUCCAUUUAAAAUAUUGAACAUGAAAGAAAAUAGGAUUUGAAGGAGAGGUGCUUUGGUAGAGAGAGAAACUCAAGCCUGAAGGAUCUAUCCUCUUGAAACUCAACUUUAGCUCUACUAGAAUAGCUUCAAAUCAUCUAAGAAAAUUUCAAAAAUGGGUAAAUUAUAUAGACAUAGACAGUUACUCAUCUUAAAGGUAAGAUACUUAAAUUUUAAUAUGCAAUAUAAAACCUUAUGAUCAUUAAUUUAUGUUACAUAA
RNAcentral lists this unclassified non-coding RNA (464 nucleotides) under Hevea brasiliensis (rubber tree). Lineage: Eukaryota; Viridiplantae; Streptophyta; Magnoliopsida; Malpighiales; Euphorbiaceae. The record is from RNAcentral.